GGAUUCAGUUGUUUUCAGUAUAAUCUCAUUGUCUUUAAUGAAAAUGCAACAAGGACCAUGAUAUGGUUUGGCUCUGUGUCUCCACCCAAAUCUCAUGUUGAAUUGUAAUCCUUGGUGUUGGGGUAGGGACCUGGUGGGAGGUGGUUGGAUCAUGGUGGGGGGGUUCCCCACUUGCUGUUCUCGUGAUAGUGGAUUAUCAUGAGAUCUGGUUGUUUAAAAGUGUGUAGCACUUCCCUUUGCUCUAUCACUCUCUCCUGCUGCCACGUGAAGAAGAUAUUUGCUUCCCCUUUGCCUUCCACCAUGAUUGUAAGUUUCCUGAGGCCUCCCAUUCAUGCUUCCUGUUAAGCCUGCAGAACCGCUUGGGUCCCAGCUCCAAAAUGUCUCAUUAUCUGUAUUUGAAUAUCCCCAAAUUUGAAAAAUUCAAAAUCUGAAACACUUCUGAUCCCAAGCAUUUCAGACUCCUAAGAGUUAAUACGAAGUAGAAAGAGAAGUUGGAGUUAAGCAGCUCGUUCCAGUUCUGAUUUUGCCAUUUCCUGUCUGAGUGACCUGAAAAGAACGUCGGUCCUGGCAGUCUUUCAGCCACAAAGCUUUGAGAAAUGGGGCUAAAUAUUAAUAAUAACUGCUUGGAUUAUAAUGAGGAAUCAAUCAAAACACAUACUGUUGAUGAAGAUGCCUUGAACACCGUGGAUGCUGUAGAAUAAGGGAUUAUGACUACAGCAAUUCUUGGCUCCCUUCUCUGUUUGUUUAAGGGUUACACAGGCUUUGUUUAAUAUCUCCGUGUCUCAGUCCUUUCGGUUGAAGCACAAGGCAUGCUUCAGCCACCUGAGAUUAACUGCUAAACCCUGCAGCAAGCCAGCAUCUCCUCCCUGCUGCCUCUCAUCCGUCAGGAUCUGCUCUGGAAAUGGGCCAGUGGUGACGUGUGGGAAUGCAGCCCUUUGUGUUUGUUUUUGGUGUUGGAUUUGGUGGCCUUGGUCACGGAUUGGCUUCCUUCUUUGAAACUGAACAUCUUCCAUGCCUUUGUGAUUGAGUGACAAAAGUUCAACCUGCACAUGCCAAAAUGAACAGCCUAGAAAACUGAUUAUGGUUUCAGGACCAGCUUUAAAAAAAAGCAACAAAACCCUUCCAGUCACCCAGAGUUCUAAACAUAAUCGGUUGGUUCCCAGAAGUACAAUAAAAGGAAGCCAG
Molecule: long non-coding RNA, 1185 nt
Filed under: Homo sapiens (human)
Lineage: Eukaryota; Metazoa; Chordata; Mammalia; Primates; Hominidae
Description: HSALNT0393347
Source: RNAcentral